RNAcentral lists this transfer RNA (77 nucleotides) under Bifidobacterium scardovii. RNAcentral's name for it is "tRNA-Leu". Lineage: Bacteria; Bacillati; Actinomycetota; Actinomycetes; Bifidobacteriales; Bifidobacteriaceae. The record is from RNAcentral. RNAcentral also lists the same sequence under 1 other name.
GCCCCAUUAGACCAACUGGUAGAGUCGGCCGCUUCAAGUACGGCGUAGUCGCGGUUCGAAUCCGCGAUGGGGCACCA